RNAcentral lists this ribosomal RNA (1615 nucleotides) under seawater metagenome. Its description in RNAcentral is "bacterial LSU rRNA". It matches the Rfam family "Bacterial large subunit ribosomal RNA", at positions 810 to 2486 of the family's 2925-position model. The record is from RNAcentral.
UGUGCCUAGGGGUGAAAGGCCAAUCAAACUCGGAGAUAGCUGGUUCUCCGCGAAAUCUAUUUAGGUAGAGCGUCAUCCGAAUACCCCGGGGGGUAGAGCACUGGAUGGGUAAUGGGGCCCCACAGGCUUACUGAUCCUAACCAAACUCCGAAUACCCGGGAGUAAUAGAUGGCAGACACACUGCGGGUGCUAACGCCCGUAGUGAAAAGGGAAACAACCCUGACCGACAGUUAAGGCCCCUAAUUCAUGGCUAAGUGGAAAAGCAGGUGAGACGACCAUAACAACCAGGAAGUUGGCUUAGAAGCAGCCAUCUUUUAAAGAUAGCGUAACAGCUCACUGGUCUAAUUAAGUUGUCUUGCGGCGAAAAUGUAACGGGGCUCAAGCCAUGAGCCGAAACUUCGGAUGCAUUUAUGCAUGGUAGCGGAGCGUAGUGUGACAUAGUUCCAUGCGUCUUUAACUUCCUUCGGGGAGUAUUGGACGCAAGGAGCUUUCUGUGAAGCCGGCCUGUGAGGGAUCCGGUGGAGAGAUCACUAGUGAGAAUGAUGACAUGAGUAACGACAAAGGGGGUGAGAGACCCCCUCGCCGAAAAUCCAAGGGUUCCUGCUUAAAGCUAAUCUGAGCAGGGUGAGCCGGCCCCUAAGCCGAGGGCGAAAGCCGUAGGCGAUGGGAACCAGGUUAAUAUUCCUGGGCCAGGAGGAAGUGACGGAUCAUGAAGAUUGUUGGAUCAGGCGUAGUUGCCCCAGCAGUUAAUUGGUUCCUGGAAAUAGCCCUCCAUCAGACCGUACCCUAAACCGACACAGGUGGAUAGGUAGAGUAUACCAAGGCGCUUGAGAGAACUAUGUUGAAGGAACUCGGCAAAAUACCUCCGUAAGUUCGCGAGAAGGAGGCCCGGUUUCUAGGCAACUGGAAGCUGGGGGCACAAACCAGGGGGUGGCGACUGUUUACUAAAAACACAGGGCUCUGCGAAGUCGUAAGACGACGUAUAGGGUCUGACGCCUGCCCGGUGCCUGAAGGUUAAAAGGAGGGGUGAGAGCUCCGAAUUGAAGCCCAGGUAAACGGCGGCCGUAACUAUAACGGUCCUAAGGUAGCGAAAUUCCUUGUCGGGUAAGUUCCGACCUGCACGAAUGGCGUAACGACUUCCCCGCUGUCUCCAACAUAGACUCAGUGAAAUUGAAUUGCCUGUCAAGAUGCAGGCUUCCCGCGGUUAGACGGAAAGACCCCGUGCACCUUUACUACAACUUUACACUGAUAACAGGCACAAUAUGUGCAGAAUAGGUGGUAGGCUUUGAAGCAGGGACGCCAGUCCUUGUGGAGCCUCCUUUGAGAUACCACCCUUAUUUUUCUUGUUAUCUAACUGCGGUCCGUUAUCCGGAUCCAGGACCCUGUAUGGUGGGUAGUUUGACUGGGGCGGUCGCCUCCUAAAGCGUAACGGAGGCGCGCGAAGGUUGGCUCAGAGCGGUCGGAAAUCGCUCGUUGAGUGCAAUGGCAGAAGCCAGCCUGACUGCGAGACUGACAAGUCGAGCAGAGUCGAAAGACGGCCAUAGUGAUCCGGUGGUCCCGAGUGGAAGGGCCAUCGCUCAACGGAUAAAAGGUACGCCGGGGAUAACAGGCUGAU